UCGCAGCACUUUUUAUCGUGCUGACUAUGCAGUCGACGAUGAAACUUUCGGGGUGGAUUAGUGGCGAACGGGGAGAAAACCUGGGCAAUCUGCCCUUCACUCUGGGAAAGCCCUGGAAACGGGGUCUAAUACCGGAUAACACUCUGUCCCGCAUGGGACGGGGUUAAAAGCUCCGGCGGUGAAGGAUGAGCCCGCGGCCUAUCAGCUUGUUGGUGGGGUAAUGGCCUACCAAGGCGACGACCGGUAGCCGGCCUGAGAGGGCGACCGGCCACACUGGGACUGAAACACGGCCCAGACUCCUACGGGAGGCAGCAGUGGGGAAUAUUGCACAAUGGGCGAAAGCCUGAUGCAGCGACGCCGCGUGAGGGAUGACGGCCUUCGGGUUGUAAACCUCUUUCAGCAAGGAAGAAGCGAAAGUGACGGUACCUGCAGAAGAAGCGCCGGCUAACUACGUGCCAGCAGCCGCGGUAAUACGUAAGGCGCAAGCGUUGUCCGGAAUUAUUGGGCGUAAAGAGCUCGUACGCGGCUUGUCACGUCGGAUGUGAAAGCCCGGGGCUUAACCCCGGGUCUGCAUUCGAUACGGGCUAGCUAGAGUGUGGUAUGGGAGAUCGGAAUUCCUGGUGUAGCGGUGAAAUGCGCAGAUAUCUGAGGAACACCGGUGGCGAAGGCGGAUCUCUGGGCCAUUUCUGACGCUGAGGACCAAAGCGUGGGGAGCGAACAGGAUUAAUUCCCUGGUAGUCCACGCCUUAACCUUGGGAACUAGGUGUGGCGACUUUCCCGUCUUCGGUGCCGCACUAAUCUUAGUUCCCCGCCUGGGGAGUACGGCCGCAAGCUUAAAUUAAAGUAUUGAUUGGGCCCCUCAUAAUCGUGGUGUCUUGUGUUUUAUUUCUAUGUAUCUCUGAUGUACCUUACCAAGUUUGCAUUAUACCCGCAAGUCAUCUGAGAUUGGUGCCCCCUUUGUUAUCUGUUAUCAGUUUGUUCUUGCCUUUCCUCACUCCGGCCUUAAAUGUUAGUUUAUUUCCGCCUACUAUGCCACCCCUCGUUUCUUGUUCCGUAUUGUCUUUCUGGUUGUAUGGUUUCUUCUUUUAUACCGUCCGGGUUUUUUCCUAUGUAUUUUGA
Molecule: ribosomal RNA, 1119 nt
Filed under: Streptomyces sp. 19(2008)
Lineage: Bacteria; Bacillati; Actinomycetota; Actinomycetes; Kitasatosporales; Streptomycetaceae
Description: bacterial SSU rRNA
Rfam family: Bacterial small subunit ribosomal RNA
Source: RNAcentral